Molecule: ribosomal RNA, 370 nt
Filed under: uncultured bacterium
Lineage: Bacteria
Description: bacterial SSU rRNA
Rfam family: Bacterial small subunit ribosomal RNA
Source: RNAcentral
UACGGAGGAUCCAAGCGUUAUCCGGAAUCAUUGGGUUUAAAGGGUCCGUAGGCGGCCGAGUAAGUCAGUGGUGAAAGCCCAUCGCUCAACGGUGGAACGGCCAUUGAUACUGCUCGGCUUGAAUUACUGGGAAGUAACUAGAAUAUGUAGUGUAGCGGUGAAAUGCUUAGAUAUUACAUGGAAUACCGAUUGCGAAGGCAGGUUACUACCAGUUUAUUGACGCUGAUGGACGAAAGCGUGGGGAGCGAACAGGAUUAGAUACCCUGGUAGUCCACGCCGUAAACGAUGGAUACUAGCUGUUGGGAGCAAUCUCAGUGGCUAAGCGAAAGUGAUAAGUAUCCCACCUGGGGAGUACGAACGCAAGUUUGAA